AUUGAACGCUGGCGGCAGGCCUAACACAUGCAAGUCGAACGGUAACAGGAAACAGCUUGCUGUUUCGCUGACGAGUGGCGGACGGGUGAGUAAUGUCUGGGAAACUGCCUGAUGGAGGGGGAUAACUACUGGAAACGGUAGCUAAUACCGCAUAACGUCGCAAGACCAAAGAGGGGGACCUUCGGGCCUCUUGCCAUCGGAUGUGCCCAGAUGGGAUUAGCUAGUAGGUGGGGUAACGGCUCACCUAGGCGACGAUCCCUAGCUGGUGUGAGAGGAUGACCAGCCGCACUGGAACUGGGCCACGGUCCAUACUCCUGCGGGAGGCAGCAGUGGGGAAUAUUGCACAAAGGGCGCAAGCCUGAUGCAGCCAUGCCGCGUGUAUGAAGAAGGCGUUCGGGUUGUAAAGUACUUUCAGCGGUGAGGAAGGGAGUAAAGUUAAUACCUUUACUCAUUGACGUUACCCGCAGAAGAAGCACCGGCUAACUCCGUG
Molecule: ribosomal RNA, 490 nt
Filed under: uncultured bacterium
Lineage: Bacteria
Description: partial 16S ribosomal RNA
Rfam family: Bacterial small subunit ribosomal RNA
Source: RNAcentral